This 81-nucleotide transfer RNA is filed under the name Deltaproteobacteria bacterium. RNAcentral's name for it is "tRNA-Leu". It matches the Rfam family "tRNA". Rfam says of the family: Transfer RNA (tRNA) molecules are approximately 80 nucleotides in length. Their secondary structure includes four short double-helical elements and three loops (D, anti-codon, and T loops). Lineage: Bacteria; Pseudomonadati; Myxococcota; Myxococcia. The record is from RNAcentral.
GCCGGGAUGGCGGAACGGUAGACGCAGAGGUCUUAAAAACCUCGGCCUCGCGGCGUGGGGGUUCGAGCCCCCCUCCCGGCA